CAUUCAAGAGACGGAAGAGCACCAGCGACUUCUCAAACAUGUAGCUGCUAACUCGUGGACUGUGCUUGAUGGUAAAGCUCCGCCAACCAACUCGGCAGCGAGGUCAGCAAGUGACAAAUGCUCCACGUCGGCCAACGAAAGCAGAUGCUUAAUUUGCUCACAAUUUCAGAAUGUGGGCAUCACUGGCUGAGCCAGUAUUCAUUAUCCAUCUUUAAUUGCCGAGUAGAUGAUUAAGAGUCAACCAUAUUACUGUGGAUCUGUCAGUAAGAGCAGGAACCUUCAAGUUCUCUUUCUUCACCUGGAGGAAAGUGUAUGUGUGAAGGGGCUAAGGAAGGAAGUUCUGUUGUAUUGGAAAGAAAGUCUAAACUUGCUGCUGGCAUGAGCGGAAUUGAGGGAGAUCUGGAAAAUAGAUGUAACAAAACGAUUGUCAGUUGGGGGUACAUGUAUAACACCUACAGGAAUAAAAGAAUUGAACCUCUGCCUGGUCAGAACAGAAUUUUGAGGAACUGUAUAGCUGAGAUUAAUGUUAUUGAUGCCAAAGGAGCUGCAAAUCAAUCUGUAAGAUGUAUUUUUGCUGUAUCAGUUAUUUACACUUUAAUUUAUAAUCUCUACUGAACACAAUUUAUUAUGGAUUUAUGUUUAUUUUUGGUUUGAUUGCUGGUGUCAAACUUUAAAAAGUAAGAUAUUGUCCAUUAGUUUCCUCCAUUGGGAUUGUUUGUAAAUUCAGUCCGUUCAUGUUAUUGAUCUCCUCAAGCAUCAUAACGUCUGAAAUAGCAGACAUUCACCUAACUCGCAUUGCUGUUGACAUAUCUGGAUCAUGUUAAGUAACCUCCAGACAUUAUCCAUUGAUCUGCGACCUUUUCUGAACUCCAUCUGGUCCUCCUUAAUGGUGUAGGCAGUACAGUUUCCAGUCUUAGUGCCAAAGUCUUAGAUAGGAUUUUGAAGUCGACAUUCAGAGCGAAAUGGGCCUAUAGGAAGCACAGUCCCUGGGGCCUUCCCUUUUUUAAGAAUGAGAGAGAUGUUCAUCUCUCUUAAAGGUGGUGGGAGGAGGCCACAAUUGUGCGAGUCAUUAAAUGUACUAAGCAUCGCCCCUGACAACACACUUAUAAAUUCCUUGUGGAACUCACUGGAAAGCCCGUCAGUACCAGGCGCCUUUCCAUUCUGGAGCUGCCUCACAGCCUUCUGCACCUCUUGUUCUGACAAUGGGGCACUGAGGAGAGACUCUUGUUCAGGAAUCAUUCCCGGAAGGUCCAAAUUCUUAAAAAAAAAGACUCCAUCCUAACCCGCCCACCCUCAUAGCUUUCAGAUUGGUAUAGUUCAGAGUAAAAUUUCCGAAAUGCUGCAUUAAUCCUUUUUAGGAUCACAGGUUAAAUUUCCAGUGUCCUCCCUAAUUGAGGUAAUGGCUUGGGGGGCACUCCUUUUCCUGGCAAGGUACGCUAAAUACUCGCCUGGCUUACCCCCAUGCUCAAACAGCCUUUGGUUUGCAAAUAUAAGCUCCCUCUUGGCUGUGCGUGUGAGCAUGGAGUUCAGUAUAGACCAAAGCGCUGUGAUCCUCAGCAGUUUAG
Chiloscyllium plagiosum (whitespotted bambooshark) is the source of this 1565-nucleotide long non-coding RNA. RefSeq lists it as uncharacterized. The record is from RefSeq and is a predicted model, not a curated record. NCBI's taxonomy places the organism in Eukaryota, Metazoa, Chordata, Chondrichthyes, Orectolobiformes, Hemiscylliidae.